Molecule: ribosomal RNA, 268 nt
Filed under: uncultured prokaryote
Description: partial 16S ribosomal RNA
Rfam family: Bacterial small subunit ribosomal RNA
Source: RNAcentral
UACGUAGGUGGCGAGCGUUGUCCGGAUUUACUGGGCGUAAAGGGAGCGUAGGCGGACUUUUAAGUGAGAUGUGAAAUACCCGGGCUCAACUUGGGUGCUGCAUUUCAAACUGGAAGUCUAGAGUGCAGGAGAGGAGAAUGGAAUUCCUAGUGUAGCGGUGAAAUGCGUAGAGAUUAGGAAGAACACCAGUGGCGAAGGCGAUUCUCUGGACUGUAACUGACGCUGAGGCUCGAAAGCGUGGGAGCAAACAGGAUUAGAUACCCGUGUA